GGCGAGGUCGCAUAGUGGACUAGUGCAGUCGCCUUGAAAGCGACCGAGGGGCAACUCUCCGUGGGUUCGAAUCCCACCCUCGCCG
RNAcentral lists this transfer RNA (85 nucleotides) under Luteococcus japonicus. RNAcentral's name for it is "tRNA-Ser". It matches the Rfam family "tRNA". From Rfam's summary of the family: Transfer RNA (tRNA) molecules are approximately 80 nucleotides in length. Their secondary structure includes four short double-helical elements and three loops (D, anti-codon, and T loops). RNAcentral also lists the same sequence under 1 other name. The record is from RNAcentral. Lineage: Bacteria; Bacillati; Actinomycetota; Actinomycetes; Propionibacteriales; Propionibacteriaceae.